GAGUUUGCGGAUGCUGGUGGUUGCGGUUUCGAGUGGUUUUAAGAGAUUUGUACGACUGGUUCUGCGGUUAGAAAUUAAUGCGUUUGCGGGACACUUAUGACUGGUUAACUACCAAAUACAGCAGCGGUUAAAUAAUAAAUUAACAAUAUUUACAUUUUAUAUAAUUAUAAAAUAUCAAAAAAUCAUAAUACUAUAAUAAAUAUGAAAAUUACAUUUAGAAAGUUAUAGAUUUAAAAUUUUAAAAUGAUAGAAAAUAUUUUUAUUUUAAAAUUCUAUAAUAUUAAUUAAAAUAUAAUAGAUAUAUUUUAGUAUUUUUACAAUUCCAAUUUAAAAAUUUUAUUGAAUAUUUUUAUUUUUGUAUUUAUAUGGUUUUUGAAAAAAAAAGAAAAAAAAAAUUAUCCUCCCACAACCGUCCGCAACCG
Molecule: long non-coding RNA, 422 nt
Filed under: Brassica rapa (field mustard)
Lineage: Eukaryota; Viridiplantae; Streptophyta; Magnoliopsida; Brassicales; Brassicaceae
Description: long non-coding RNA (BRAP_LNC001085)
Source: RNAcentral